Molecule: ribosomal RNA, 455 nt
Filed under: uncultured bacterium
Lineage: Bacteria
Description: bacterial SSU rRNA
Rfam family: Bacterial small subunit ribosomal RNA
Source: RNAcentral
GCACAAGCGGUGGAGCAUGUGGUUUAAUUCGAUGCAACGCGAAGAACCUUACCUACCCUUGACAUGUCAGGAAUCCUGGUUAAGCGCCGGGAGUGCCGAAAGGAACCUGAACACAGGUGCUGCAUGGCUGUCGUCAGCUCGUGUCGUGAGAUGUUGGGUUAAGUCCCGUAACGAGCGCAACCCUUGUCCUUCGUUGCCACCCGCAAGGGGGAACUCGAAGGAGACUGCCGGUGAUAAACCGGAGGAAGGUGGGGAUGACGUCAAGUCCUCAUGGCCUUUAUGUCCAGGGCUACACACGUGCUACAAUGGUCGGUACAAAACGUCGCAAACCCGCGAGGGGGAGCUAAUCGGAAAAAGCCGACCUCAGUUCGGAUUGGAGUCUGCAACUCGACUCCAUGAAGCUGGAAUCGCUAGUAAUCGCGGAUCAGAACGCCGCGGUGAAUACGUUCCCGGGC